Molecule: ribosomal RNA, 497 nt
Filed under: uncultured bacterium
Lineage: Bacteria
Description: partial 16S ribosomal RNA
Rfam family: Bacterial small subunit ribosomal RNA
Source: RNAcentral
GAUGAACGCUGGCGGCGUGCCUAAUACAUGCAAGUCGAGCGAACGGACGAGAAGCUUGCUUCUCUGAUGUUAGCGGCGGACGGGUGAGUAACACGUGGAUAACCUACCUAUAAGACUGGGAUAACUUCGGGAAACCGGAGCUAAUACCGGAUGAUAUUUUGAACCGCAUGGUUCAAAAGUGAAAGACGGUCUUGCUGUCACUUAUAGAUGGAUCCGCGCUGCAUUAGCUAGUUGGUAAGGUAACGGCCUACCAAGGCAACGAUGCAUAGCCGACCUGAGAGGGUGAUCGGCCACACUGGAACUGAGACACGGUCCAGACUCCUACGGGAGGCAGCAGUAGGGAAUCUUCCGCAAUGGGCGAAAGCCUGACGGAGUAACGCCGCGUGAGUGAUGAAGGUCUUCGGAUCGUAAAACUCUGUUAUUAGGGAAGAACAUAUGUGUAAGUAACUGUGCACAUCUUGACGGUACCUAAUCAGAAAGCCACGGCUAACUACGUG